Molecule: ribosomal RNA, 491 nt
Filed under: uncultured bacterium
Lineage: Bacteria
Description: bacterial SSU rRNA
Rfam family: Bacterial small subunit ribosomal RNA
Source: RNAcentral
AACGAACGCUGGCGGCGUGCCUAACACAUGCAAGUCGAACGAGAAAGUCACUUCGGUGAUGAGUAGAGUGGCGGACGGGUGAGUAAUAAAUAGGAACGUACCUUAUGGAGGGGGAUAACUUAGGGAAACUUGAGCUAAUACCGCGUAAGAUCGAGAGAUGAGAGGUGGCCUCUGUUUACAAGCUACCGCCAUAAGAGCGGCCUAUUUCCCAUUAGCUAGUUGGUAAGGUAAAGGCUUACCAAGGCAACGAUGGGUAGCUGGUCUGAGAGGAUGAUCAGCCACACUGGAACUGAGACACGGUCCAGACUCCUACGGGAGGCAGCAGUAAGGAAUAUUGCGCAAUGGACGAAAGUCUGACGCAGCGACGCCGCGUGGGGGAUGAAGGUCUUCGGAUUGAAACCCCUUUCGGGAGGGAAGAUGGAGUGGGUAACCACUUGGACGGUACCUCCAGAAGCAGCCACGGCUAACUUCGUGCCAGCAGCCGCGGUAAU